AACGAACGCUGGCGGCAUGCCUAACACAUGCAAGUCGAACGAGACCUUCGGGUCUAGUGGCGCACGGGUGCGUAACGCGUGGGAACCUUCCCUUAGGUUCGGAAUAACUCCACGACAGGGGUGCUAAUACCGGAUAAUGUCUUCGGACCAAAGAUUUAUCGCCUUUGGAUGGGCCGGCGUUGGAUUAGCUAGUUGGUAGGGUAAAAGCCUACCAAGGCGACGAUCCAUAGCUGGUCUGAGAGGAUGAUCAGCCACACUGGGACUGAGACACGGCCCAGACUCCUACGGGAGGCAGCAGAGGGGAAUAUUGGACAAUGGGCGAAAGCCUGAUCCAGCAAUGCCGCGUGAGUGAUGAAGGCCGUAGGGUUGUAAAGCUCUUUUACCCGGGAUGAUAAUGACAGUACCGGGAGAAUAAGCGCCGGCUAACUCCGUG
This 433-nucleotide ribosomal RNA is filed under the name uncultured bacterium. Its description in RNAcentral is "partial 16S ribosomal RNA". It matches the Rfam family "Bacterial small subunit ribosomal RNA", at positions 29 to 507 of the family's 1533-position model. The record is from RNAcentral.